GGAAUAUUGCACAAUGGGGGAAACCCUGAUGCAGCCAUGCCGCGUGUGUGAAGAAGGCCUUCGGGUUGUAAAGCACUUUCAGUAGGGAGGAAAGGGUAAGGUUUAAUACGCCUUAUCUGUGACGUUACCUACAGAAGAAGGACCGGCUAACUCCGUGCCAGCAGCCGCGGUAAUACGGAGGGUCCGAGCGUUAAUCGGAAUUACUGGGCGUAAAGCGUGCGCAGGCGGUUUGUUAAGCGAGAUGUGAAAGCCCUGGGCUCAACCUAGGAAUAGCAUUUCGAACUGGCGAACUAGAGUCUUGUAGAGGGGGGUAGAAUUCCAGGUGUAGCGGUGAAAUGCGUAGAGAUCUGGAGGAAUACCGGUGGCGAAGGCGGCCCCCUGGACAAAGACUGACGCUCAUGCACGAAAGCGUGGGGAGCAAACAGGAUUAGAUACCCGGG
RNAcentral lists this ribosomal RNA (440 nucleotides) under uncultured Shewanella sp. Its description in RNAcentral is "bacterial SSU rRNA". It matches the Rfam family "Bacterial small subunit ribosomal RNA", at positions 358 to 790 of the family's 1533-position model. Lineage: Bacteria; Pseudomonadati; Pseudomonadota; Gammaproteobacteria; Alteromonadales; Shewanellaceae. The record is from RNAcentral.